CCUACGGGAGGCAGCAGUGAGGAAUAUUGGUCAAUGGACGCAAGUCUGAACCAGCCAUGCCGCGUGCAGGAAGACGGCCCUAUGAGUUGUAAACUGCUUUUGUACGAGGGUAAACGCAGAUACGUGUAUCUUUCUGAAAGUAUCGUACGAAUAAGGAUCGGCUAACUCCGUGCCAGCAGCCGCGGUAAUACGGAGGAUUCAAGCGUUAUCCGGAUUUAUUGGGUUUAAGGGGUGCGUAGGCGGUCGGAUAAGUUAGAUGUGAAAUCCCGAGGCUCAACUUCGGAAUUGCCUUUGAUACUGUUCGGCUAGAGUGUAGUUGCGGUAGGCGGAAUGUAUGGUGUAGCGGUGAAAUGCUUAGAGAUCAUGCAGAACACCGAUUGCGAAGGCAGCUUACCAAGCUACUACUGACGUUGAUGCACGAAAGCGUGGGGAGCAAACAGGAUUAGAUACCCCAGUAGUC
RNAcentral lists this ribosomal RNA (460 nucleotides) under uncultured bacterium. Its description in RNAcentral is "partial 16S ribosomal RNA". It matches the Rfam family "Bacterial small subunit ribosomal RNA", at positions 338 to 795 of the family's 1533-position model. The record is from RNAcentral.